RNAcentral lists this ribosomal RNA (231 nucleotides) under uncultured bacterium. RNAcentral describes it as "partial 16S ribosomal RNA". It matches the Rfam family "Bacterial small subunit ribosomal RNA", at positions 118 to 350 of the family's 1533-position model. The record is from RNAcentral.
UGAGUAACCUGCCCUGGACUUUGGGAUAACCCUCGGAAACGGGGGCUAAUACCGGAUAUGACGCACUCUCGCAUGGGAUGUGUGUGGAAAGUUUUUCGGUCUGGGAUGGGCUCGCGGCCUAUCAGCUUGUUGGUGGGGUGAUGGCCUACCAAGGCGACGACGGGUAGCCGGCCUGAGAGGGCGAUCGGCCACACUGGGACUGAGACACGGCCCAGACUCCUACGGGAGGCA